UUAUCCAUGUCUAACACGAUAGCAAGUAUGUGUGAGUGAAAAAAGACAGAUAGGCAGCGAGAGGACAUAAAUCUCAAUUAUUUUCCUGUUGACAUCAACUCAAGCUUAUUUACCCAUUACACAAGUGUCGGGCAACAAAUACAACAAAAUGCAACUUCAUAAUUGCCAAGAAUCUCAGUUUCUUACCUCAUUUUCUGAAAGAUAUCCGUCAGGUACGAAAAAGCCAUCUUCAUCAUCAUCUGUUGAACAUCCUUCCUCUAAACUUUCCUCUAAGCUUGCAGAAUCAUCAAGCAAGCAACAAUGGCAGUGGGUGAUCAAUUACAAUCAGCUGAAGCACAAAAUCAAAGAAUCCUUAAAUGCCAACUCUCUUUUAUAUAACCUUUCCUUAACUGGGAUUUGGUCUACAGGUGAGAGCAAUGCAUGUGAAAGCCUGUUGCCCGUCCACUGCAGAAUCAGAUUUUUUGGGACGACUGCGGCGAACUCUCACCAGAUGGAGGCAAGCACCUCUUUGAGAA
This 515-nucleotide unclassified non-coding RNA is filed under the name Hevea brasiliensis (rubber tree). Lineage: Eukaryota; Viridiplantae; Streptophyta; Magnoliopsida; Malpighiales; Euphorbiaceae. The record is from RNAcentral.